Molecule: ribosomal RNA, 493 nt
Filed under: Salmonella enterica subsp. enterica serovar Rubislaw
Lineage: Bacteria; Pseudomonadati; Pseudomonadota; Gammaproteobacteria; Enterobacterales; Enterobacteriaceae
Also listed under: 4 other names
Description: bacterial SSU rRNA
Rfam family: Bacterial small subunit ribosomal RNA
Source: RNAcentral
UGUCGUCAGCUCGUGUUGUGAAAUGUUGGGUUAAGUCCCGCAACGAGCGCAACCCUUAUCCUUUGUUGCCAGCGGUCCGGCCGGGAACUCAAAGGAGACUGCCAGUGAUAAACUGGAGGAAGGUGGGGAUGACGUCAAGUCAUCAUGGCCCUUACGACCAGGGCUACACACGUGCUACAAUGGCGCAUACAAAGAGAAGCGACCUCGCGAGAGCAAGCGGACCUCAUAAAGUGCGUCGUAGUCCGGAUUGGAGUCUGCAACUCGACUCCAUGAAGUCGGAAUCGCUAGUAAUCGUGGAUCAGAAUGCCACGGUGAAUACGUUCCCGGGCCUUGUACACACCGCCCGUCACACCAUGGGAGUGGGUUGCAAAAGAAGUAGGUAGCUUAACCUUCGGGAGGGCGCUUACCACUUUGUGAUUCAUGACUGGGGUGAAGUCGUAACAAGGUAACCGUAGGGGAACCUGCGGUUGGAUCACCUCCUUACCUGAAAGAA